RNAcentral lists this ribosomal RNA (494 nucleotides) under uncultured bacterium. Its description in RNAcentral is "partial 16S ribosomal RNA". It matches the Rfam family "Bacterial small subunit ribosomal RNA", at positions 28 to 507 of the family's 1533-position model. The record is from RNAcentral.
GACGAACGCUGGCGGCGCGCUUAACACAUGCAAGUCGAACGGAAAGGCCUGCUUUCCCUUGUGGAUUGCGGGUACUCGAGUGGCGAACGGGUGAGUAACACGUGAGUGAUCUGCCCCCAACUUGGGUAUAAGCCUGGGAAACUGGGUCUAAUUCCCGAUAGGACUGCAGGGUGGUGCCUGUGGUGGAAAACGAUUUUCUAGUGGUUGGGGAUGAGCUCGCGGCCUAUCAGCUUGUUGGUGGGGUAAUGGCCUACCAAGGCGGCGACGGGUAGCCGGCCUGAGAGGGUGGACGGCCACAUUGGGACUGAGAUACGGCCCAGACUCCUACGGGAGGCAGCAGUGGGGAAUAUUGCACAAUGUGCGGAAGCCUGAUGCAGCGACGCCGCGUGGGGGAUGACGGCCUUCGGGUUGUAAACUCCUUUCGACCGCGAGGAAGCCACCUGGUUGGAAGGGUGGUGACGGUAGUGGUAGAAGAAGCACCGGCUAACUACGUG